Molecule: ribosomal RNA, 450 nt
Filed under: uncultured bacterium
Lineage: Bacteria
Description: partial 16S ribosomal RNA
Rfam family: Bacterial small subunit ribosomal RNA
Source: RNAcentral
CCUACGGGUGGCUGCAGUGGGGAAUAUUGGACAAUGGGCGCAAGCCUGAUCCAGCAAUGCCGCGUGUGUGAAGAAGGCCUGCGGGUUGUAAAGCCCUUUGAGUGGGGAAGAAGGCCUGGGGGUUAAUAGCUUCUGGGAUUGACGUUACCCACAGAACAAGCACCGGCUAACUCCGUGCCAGCAGCCGCGGUAAUACGGAGGGUGCGAGCGUUGAUCGGAAUUACUGGACGUAGAUGACGCAUAGGCAUGUGAAAGCCCUGGGCUUAACCUGGGAACUGCAUUGGAUACUGUUUGACUGGAGUGUGGUAGAGGGGUGUGGAAUUUCCGGUGUAGCAGUGAAAUGCGUAGAGAUCGGAAGGAACACCAGUGGCGAAGGCGGCACCCUGGACCGACACUGACGCUGAGGUGCGAAAGCGUGGGGAGCAAACAGGAUUAGAUACCCCUGUAGUC